RNAcentral lists this ribosomal RNA (206 nucleotides) under uncultured methanogenic archaeon. RNAcentral describes it as "partial 16S ribosomal RNA". It matches the Rfam family "Archaeal small subunit ribosomal RNA", at positions 588 to 792 of the family's 1478-position model. The record is from RNAcentral. Lineage: Archaea; Methanobacteriati; Methanobacteriota.
UAAGCUUGGAGCCGGGAGAGGUUGGAGGUACUCCCGGGGUAGGAGUGAAAUCUUGUAAUCCUGGGAGGACCACCUGUGGCGAAGGCGUCUUACUGGAACGGACCUGACGGUGAGUAACGAAAGCUGGGGGAGCGAACCGGAUUAGAUACCCGGGUAGUCCUGGCCGUAAACGAUGUGCACUUGGUGUGUGGGAUGGCUCCGAGCUG